Molecule: long non-coding RNA, 579 nt
Filed under: Spirodela polyrhiza (greater duckweed)
Lineage: Eukaryota; Viridiplantae; Streptophyta; Magnoliopsida; Alismatales; Araceae
Description: long non-coding RNA (SPOL_LNC000420)
Source: RNAcentral
GUAUUUGUGCUUCUGGACGAGAGGCACUGUUCCUCUUUCUGUGUUUUGUUGAGUACGAAUAAAAGGUUGCAACAGUAUGUGAUACCGCAGUAUUGUGCAGUGAACUCUGAGCUGUAACGAUAUGUGACACAUUCGUAUGUCACCGCGAAUCGGAGUUCCUAUAUAAGAAAUGUGUUUCCUUUGUCACCACAUGUUUUUGAGCGAUUUUUUGGUGAUCUACUCCGAUGAGCAAACUGUCUACAGCUCUUAUUUGGGAGGGACAUGCGCGGGAAGGCAUAUGAGGGGAAAGGAGGACAUGCAAAAGGGGAACACGUCCCUUCAUGGUUCGCCUUCACAGAAAUGAUCUUACUUUCCGGUCUCUGGGAAUUUUCCAAGAAUAACGGUGAUCUUUAUGGGAGUAGUUUCAGCACGCCAUUUCGAAAGAUCACAAGCAAAAGUUUCAAAUUUUAUUUGAAACGCUAUAAGUCAGUACUUUCCUAAUGGAAGCAGUGUGAUCCAGAUAUCAAAAUAUACUGCAUCGAAGAAGUAUGUAACUUAUUAUUAGGGCAUUUUGAACAUUUUGUGCAUGGAGACAACGAG